This 341-nucleotide long non-coding RNA is filed under the name Gallus gallus (chicken). Lineage: Eukaryota; Metazoa; Chordata; Aves; Galliformes; Phasianidae. The record is from RNAcentral.
GGCCCUCUGGCCAGCGGCGUGCUGCGAGGCGUUCACCAUCAGGUAGGAGCCGUGGGGCAGGUCAGCCGUCAGGUGUGGCAUCAUGUAGCUGCGGACCAACUCCCACCCGAAGUCGUCAUCCUCACCCUGGCUGUACUCACACUGGUUCAGGUCGUCGUCCUCCUCGAAGGUGCAGCCCGCCGAGGGCGUCUCGCUGUCCAACGCGCACACCCGCAGGGCGAGGGCGAGCAGCAGCGCCCGGGCGCUGCGCAUGGUGCGAGGGCGGCGGCGGGGCGGAGGGGCCGGGGGCGGCCGCCGACGCCACCGCCGCCUCCUGCGGGCCCCCCGGAUCCGGCGCAGCG